Lagenorhynchus albirostris (white-beaked dolphin) is the source of this 1658-nucleotide long non-coding RNA. RefSeq lists it as uncharacterized. Lineage: Eukaryota; Metazoa; Chordata; Mammalia; Artiodactyla; Delphinidae. The transcript has 9 exons. The record is from RefSeq and is a predicted model, not a curated record.
CUCUUCAUUUACUACAAAAUAGUUCCUCAAUCUGAGGUAAUAUAAUUCAAGAUACCUUAUUUGUAAUAAGCAUUUUUUUUUGGCAUUCUGUAGACUAUCAGAUAGUAAUGAUGACUGAGGUACUGAUGGAAGGGAAAACAAGCCUGAAUUAAGAAUGCAGAUUAAUUACAAUAGAAAAGAAUUACUUCCUCCUCCAAGGUGGAAGGAAAUUAAUGUAAACAACUUGCUCCCAUGUGGCUAAUUUAUCUCCUGACGGAGUGUUACGAGUCAUUGGUUUCUGCUGCUGACAGAUCACGUGUUCAACAGUGACAUAACUCCAUCAGCCUUAGACAAAGCUCAAGCUCUCGGGUCUUUGCCUAGCCUCUAUCUCUGCCACCAUGAUUACUUCACUUACGGGUUUGUUGUGUAAGCCUGGAGUGGUAAAGGGCAAGGCUGGUAUAAAUCUACUGAAGAAUCAUCCUGUCCACCUAAUCUUUGCCUCCUCAGGUUAGUGCUCUUUUAUUGACAUUCCAUGAUACAAAAAUCUACAAACUUUUCCAUAAUCAAGACUGUGUUUAUCCUUAACUCAGGCCACAUCUUUCUCCAUCACUCUGAAUGACCAAGUGUACUGUUUGAAGUUCUAUCAGGAAGAUUUUUCAUUUUUCCCUUACCACUGAUCCUUCCAGGCACCUCUGAGAGGAGACAGUGUGGAAGCCAGCCAUUUCUGGCUCACACCGAGAUAGCAAGCUGGUCUACCCAUGAACAAGACCCACAUUUUCCUUCCCUGUCAUCUGGUGAGAUUCCUAGGCAUUGUAAUGCAGACCAGGGAUUACCACCAUCCUGCUUAUCCUAGCAAUAAGGAGUGUGUCCAUGCCUUGCAACAGGAUGCCUUACACAGAUGAGUAAAUCACAGUACACAAUAAAUUUUAUGGCUGAAGAAAUUAUUUCUGCGGAAAUCUCCCUCUAACAGGACCCAGCCUCUACAUAGGACAUGUCUGGGAAAGAGCGAGAGAACUGGCCAAAACUCAAGAUGAGUCAUAGACCUUCUGCUGCAACAUGGCAUUCCUAUCACUUGUGCUAACAUUAGCCUGAUGAGCAAGAGAGCUGGAACCUGGGACCCCGAGCCCGGAGACCCUUCUGCUUCCGCUGGAGGCUCAGAGAACUCUACAUCCUCCAACCACAUCACCUGCUGGAGGUAGUCCCAACUUUGUCUUUUUCAAAAUGACAAAAGGAUUUUGUGGACAGUGAAACUAUUCUGUAUGAUACUACAAUAGCAGCUACAUGCCAUGCUACAUUUGUCAAAACUCAUGGAAUGUGCACCACACCAAGAGUGAACCCUAAUGGAUACUACAGACUAUGGUGUAAUGAUGUAUCAAGUUUCCUCAUUUGAAGCAUGUGACAAUUAACUGCCUGACCAAUCUCACAGAGGUUAAAUAAGAACACGAGAAGCUUGGAGAAGUAUAAACAUAACUUUGAAGUUAAUGGAAGCCGGGCUGCGCAGCUUAUGGGAUUUUGGUUCCCCAACCAGGGAUCGAACCCAGGCCCUCGGCAGUGAGCGCCUGGAGUCCUAACCACUGGACCACCAGGGAAUUCCCAAAAAGACCCAAGCUGAGGACCCAGAAGAGUAGAAGAAAAGAAAUUUUUUUUCUUUCUCUACACUGGGUAACUUUAAGAUGUAU